Molecule: ribosomal RNA, 254 nt
Filed under: uncultured bacterium
Lineage: Bacteria
Description: partial 16S ribosomal RNA
Rfam family: Bacterial small subunit ribosomal RNA
Source: RNAcentral
UACGUAGGGGGCAAGCGUUGUCCGGAUUUAUUGGGCGUAAAGAGCGUGUAGGCGGCCUGGAAGGUCAGCUGUGAAAACUCGAGGCUCAACCUCGAGACGUCGGUUGAAACCACUUGGCUAGAGUCCGGAAGAGGAGUGUGGAAUUCCCGGUGUAGCGGUGAAAUGCGCAGAUAUCGGGAAGAACACCCGUGGCGAAGGCGGCACUCUGGGACGGUACUGACGCUGAGACGGCGAAAGCGUGGGGAGCGAACAGG